RNAcentral lists this ribosomal RNA (434 nucleotides) under uncultured bacterium. RNAcentral describes it as "partial 16S ribosomal RNA". It matches the Rfam family "Bacterial small subunit ribosomal RNA", at positions 29 to 507 of the family's 1533-position model. The record is from RNAcentral.
AGCGAACGCUGGCGGUAGGCCUAACACAUGCAAGUCGAACGACCCUUUAGGGGUUAGUGGCGGACAGGUGUGUAACAUGUGGGAACGUGCCUUUAGGCUCGGAAUAACACAGGGAAACUUGUGCUAACACCGAAUGUGUCACUCGGGGGCAAGAUUUAUCGCAUUUAGAGCGGCACGCGUCUGACUAGCUAGUUGGUUGAGGUAAUGGCUCACCAAGGCGACGAUCAGUAGCUGGUCUGAGAGGAUGAUCAGCCACAUUGGGACUGAGACACGGCCCAAACUCCUACGGGAGGCAGCAGUGGGGAAUCUUGCGCAAUGGGCGAAAGCCUGACGCAGCCAUGCUGCGUGAAUGAUGAAGGUCUUAGGAUUGUAAAAUUCUUUCACCGGGGACGAUAAUGACGGUACCCGGAGAAGAAGCCCCGGCUAACUUCGUG